AUGGUAGUUCAUAGCAUCCACCAGGAGGCGGUGGCACUCGGGGUCUUGCAUCAUCCUCGGGACACUCUGGAUGUGGUUCACCAGGUCAUGGGCAGAAAUGGUGCCGAAGCGGAUGUGAGUGAGCUUGAGGAACUGCUCCAUCUCAGAAAACUCAAUGAAGUUCUCCCUCAUGAACUUCUGAGAUGCCUCCUUGGUUUCUUUGAGGUUGUAGGCAUCAGCAAUAUUGGCCACAUACAUGCAAUUCUCCACACUGAGCUCCUGCAUGAGGAAAUCACUGCACAUCUUCACCAAAGUGCCAAUCUGCAGCAACAUGGCUGCAGCAAUAGUGCUGCCGAUGCUGUAGAGUGACAGGGUGAGCUUUCCUGAGUAUGCAUAUGUGAUGGCAGUAGCCAGGCCAACCGGUGAGAGGUCGUUCAGAAUCAGAAUCAGAAUCAGAAAUACUUUAUUGAUCCCAGGGGGAAAUUGCUUUCAUUCCAGGUGCUCCAUGUAUACUCAAAAAAGACAGGUUAGAAAUCUAAAUAAGGUAAAGUAGUAAGCGUAAAAUAAAAAUGAAACCUAAUAAAUUCUAAACAUUAAUAAACAUUCCAGUCAAAUCCUGGCAAGUGAAGACUGAAGUCAUAUAUAAAACUUGUACUGUGUGCAGUAAAAUCUCAUCUAAAUAAAUCCAAUAUGGAUAUGAUUACAAGACAGUGUGUUAGAUCUGAUCUCAGAGGGAGGAGUUGUACAGUUUGAUGGCCACGGGAAGGAAGGACCUCCUGUGGCGCUCAGUGGUGCAUUUAGGAGGGAUCAGUCUGGCAUUGAAAGUACUCCUGCACCUCAGCAGCACGUGGUGUAGAGCAGCGGUCCCCAACCUUUUUUGCACCACGGACCGGUAUCAUGUAAAACAACACUUUCACGGACUGGCACAGAAAAAAAAUAAAAUAAAAACAAAGUGCAUAAACAGACAACUUACUCCUAUGCUUAAUUAGUGGGAGCCUUUGAGCUUUCUCAGCAAUGAGGCAGUCCCAUCUGAGGAUAAUGGGAGACAAUCACACCUGAAGUGUGUUUCUUAUGUCCAGUCCACUCUGUAAUUUUGUUUUGGCCGUCAUUAAUUGCUUCUGUCCUUCUUGUUCAUGUUUUCUUCUUUAAAAAAACUCCAUGGCUUGUCUUUUAAUGCAGGGUGCUCGGUCUCGCAGUUUUGAAGGCUUCGUUGCCUCAUUUGCGAGUCUGUCGCCACACAUCACUCAGAGCGGACUUGGUGUGUGAGAAUCACCUGUUGCAAUAAAUCCGUAUUUUAAAUAGGACUCCUGAUAUAGUCUUUUAAAUGCAGGUUUCUUUUUCUUUGAAGGGGUAGGCUCCUCUUCUUCUGUCUCCUCGUUAGGCCUUUUCCCCUUUCCGAAGAAGCUCUCCAAAGACGUUUGUUUUUUAUUCAUUUGUGCUAGGUUGUGGGCUUAAUUUUGGGGCCGUAUCCCGUGACCGAGGCAAGCGUCUGGGCAGGUGCUUAAAGGCACAGGCGGAUGAAUCUGAUCGAUUUAUAAAAUGAAACAGCUUUCAGACUCAGGUAAUGAAUAAUAUAUGUUUUGCUCAGUCUUUCUGUGCGGCCCGGUACCAAAUGACCCACGGACCGGUACCGGUCCCCGGCCCGGUGGUUGGGGACCACUGGUGUAGAGGAUGGAAGCUGUUCUCCAGGAUCCCCUGCAGCUUAGACAGCAUCCUUCUGUCUGACACUGCUGUCAGGGAAUCCAGCUCCACCCCCACCACAUCACCGGCCCUUCUGAUCAGUUUAUUGAGUCUGUUUGUGUCCGCUGCUUUCAGUCUGCUGCCCCAGCACACAACAGCAAACAAAAUGGCACUGGCAACCACAGACUCAUAAAAAAUCCUCAGCAUAGUCCGACAGAUGUUAAAGGACCGGAGCCUCCUCAGAAAAUAGAGGCGGCUCUGGCCCUUCUUGUAGAGGGCUUCAGUAUUUUUAGUCCAGUCCAGUUUAUUGUCCAACACCACUCCCAGGUAUUUGUAAUCCUCCACAAUGUCCACACUCUGCCCACCGAUGGAAACUGGAGCCACGAGUGUCUUGGUCCUCCUCAGGUCCACAACCAGCUCCCUUGUCUUUGCAACAUUGAGCAGCAGAUGGUUCUGCUCGCACCAUGUAACAAAGCUGUCCACCACAGUCCUGUACUCAGACUCUCCACCUUUGCUGAUACAUCCCACUAUGGCAGAGUCAUCAGAAAACUUCUGAAGGUGACAUGACUCUGUCUGGUAGCUGUCAGAGGUGUAGAGCGUGAAGAGGAAGGGAGAGAGGACUGUCCCUUGUGGGGCCCCGUUGCUGCUGACCACUGUAUCAGACAAACACCGCUGCAUCCCCACAUACUGUGGUCUACCAGUUAGAUAAUUCACAAUCCAUGACACAAGGGGGGGCUCUACCUGCAUCGCUGUCAGUUUCUCACCCAGGAGAGCCGGCUUGAUAGUGUUAAAGGCACUGGAGAAGUCAAAAAACAUGACUCUCACAGUGCUCGCUGGCUUGUCCAGGUGGGUGUAGACACGGUUCAGCAGGUAGAUGAUGGUAUCCUCAACUCCCAGCUGGGGCUGGUAGGCGAACUGGAGAGGGUCCAGGUGAGGCCUAACAGUAGGCCGGAGCUGUUCCAGGAUGAGUCUCUCCAGGGUCUUCAUGAUGUGUGACGUCAGUGCCAACUGGUCGGUAGUCCGAAGAACCACUGGGCCGCGGUGUCUUCGGCACCGGCACAAUGCAGGACGUCUUCCACAGCACAGGGACCCUCUGGAGACUCAGGCUCAUGGUGAAGGCCCGGUGAAGCACUCCACAGAGCUGGUCAGCACAGUCUUUGAGGACCCGAGGGCUAACACCAUCCGGUCCAGCAGCCUUGCUGGUGGGGAGUUUGCUCAGCUGUCUUCUAACCUGGAGAGGUGUGAAGAGUGGAGGAGUGAGAGUGCGGAGGAGGGGAGUGCACAGAGAGAAGAGGGCCGUUAGAGGAGGUGAUUGGAGGUGGGGGUGGGGGGCCAUUGUAGGUGAUGGAGGCAUCAAGAGGGGGGAGGGAAGGGAGCAGUGCAGGUUCCAAAACAGGAGACUCAGCGUGGACCGGGACCGCAGUGUCAAAUCUGUUAAAGAACAGGUUUAAUUAAUUGGCCCUUUCCACACUACCAUCGACCCCUCUGGUAGCUGGUCUGAACCCUGUGAUGGUCCUCAUGCCACUCCAGACCUCCCUCAUGUUGUUCUGCUGGAGCUUCCACUCCAGCUUCCUCCUGUAGUUCUCUUUAGCCUCUCUGGUUUUCACCUUCAGGUCUCUCUGAAUGGCCCUCAGUUCCUUCCUGUUGCCACCUCUGAAAGCCCGCUUCUUCUCAUUGAGGAUAGCUUUGAUGUCCUUUGUUACCCAGGGCUUGUUGUUUGGGUAACAUUUAACGUUCAGGUCAAUCUUCUGGAGCACACCAUCAGAGGCAAUAUAAUCCACCCGCAGCCCCUCGUUGAUUUAAUCAUCAGUAAUUAAAUGAAAAUAAAUUUGAAUGUUAAGUAGUGCUUCAUAGCUAAGCAGCUAGCUCUAAUAUAGCUGGCUAGCUUGUGUCCAUUUCAAAUGACAGCAUAGAAUUUUGUACCCUUGAGAAAAGCAAUGCUACCUCUGGUCUGUAUGCUAAACUAGGAUAACUAGCUUCAUCUGUAGCAUUGUAUUCAAAGAUAAAACAUGUGUGUUUAUGACAUAUUUACAGAGGUGAGGAGGCUGGCUGAUAAGGUGGCCUGACUGGCGUAGACGUCGCUAGCCCUAUUUUAGGGGGCUUCAGCCUCCCUAAAAUAAUCCAAAGCCCCCCUAUAAUUUGCGGCAAUAUUUUAUUUAUUAUUAUUAUCUUGAUUAUUUCGGAGUUGACCACGUUGUAUACGAUAUGAGAGCAUAUGUCUUACAAAGUCGCUCAUACAUUAGGAAAGUAAUAGCUAGAGACGUUCUGUUUCUUUCCUCGAAAAGAGGACACUUCAGGCAUGUCUGUGUGAUGUAGACCGGCUGUAUUAUUCUACGGGCAAGUCAGUGCCCAAUCGGACCAUCGAGCGAUAUCACAAGGGGCUCAAAUAUCCAAUUGUAGAGCCUUGUGCCUCUGACGUGGUGUAUCAAAGAUGUCUUCUGAAGACAAGAGAAGUAUCUCUACUAACUAGCUGAGUCGUCUACACAUCUGAAAAGCGGCUCUGAACGCAAUAAUAGACGCGUAGCGGACUGUUAUCUCAGCCGGAAGGUGCAUUGUUCUGCAUACCCCUGUUAUACACUGUUAUUCACUGUUAUUUCUUACUGGAAACUUUUAUUUGACUUAUUAGCGGUGCUAUGUUUUGUUACGCUAACCCGGAAGUUACGUCGAAGACGUUCCGGAUGAACAGGGGAGCUCGCUCUCAGACGCUCACAGUAAACAGCGCUUCUUUCAUGUAGCGCAGCUUCAUUUUUCAACUUUUGAUACACAACUAUUGCAGGGACAAAAGAGACAUUUACAGCGCGACUAUUUCUGAAAGAAUAAGAAAAGUUGGUGAUUAGCCCCCCCCUAUCUGUCAACCCUAGUGACGUCCAUGCUAACUGGUAACAGCCAGGCAAGGGAAAGGCAAAGGGGGCGCAUACUGAGGAAUUUUGCUCAACACUGCGAGAGGUUAGUAGAGUAGAGCGGAAUCUACCACGCAGAGUACAGCAUGUAAUGACUUGGGUCAAAGGUUUCAGAUAAUGUUUACCUUGAACACUAUCCACAGUAUUCUGUUAACUGUACAGUGCAGCAAAGCAUUUAGUAUCAUCUUACCCUUGGGGCCCAGCCAUGACUCCAAGUAAGUGUUCAGUUUAUGGUUAAAGGUCUCCAUGUGUCACCUAAAAACAGAAUGCAGAAGGAUAUCAAUCGAAAUCGGGUGUAAUCGAAACUGCACUUUACGCUUUUAAAUGAAGGGAUGCGCGCAGAUGACGCCGGUUGUCAUGGCAUCAUUAAUAAUCCACUUCCAUAAAGGAAACUUCCAGACAGGGCUACAUGGAGACUUUAACGUAACACAACUUAUCGCAUCCUGUCCAUCGCGUGCUGCCAGCAGGAGCAGCAGCAUGGAGGUCACCGCUUCAGCAUCACCCGAACUACCCGCCUGCAGACGCCAUGCGCGCUGCAACACGCCGAUGAUACAAAGCCUUACCAUAAAGCCAGGCGUCCGUCCGCGCGGUGGAAACUGAAGGAAGGUGAAGAGAUGCAGCUGUGUGUGUGUGUGUAAGAGAGAGAGAGAGAGUGUGUGAGUGUGUGUGUGUGUGUGUGUGUCG
Molecule: long non-coding RNA, 5243 nt
Organism: Parambassis ranga (Indian glassy fish)
Lineage: Eukaryota; Metazoa; Chordata; Actinopteri; Ambassidae
Source: Ensembl